Aphis gossypii (cotton aphid) is the source of this 2116-nucleotide long non-coding RNA. RefSeq lists it as uncharacterized. The record is from RefSeq and is a predicted model, not a curated record. The transcript is spliced from 12 exons. NCBI's taxonomy places the organism in Eukaryota, Metazoa, Arthropoda, Insecta, Hemiptera, Aphididae.
GUAAUCUGUGACGACGGAGAAUACAAACGACAAAAUGUAUAUUAAUCUGCUAAUAUGAAAUGUAAUAAUCGUCCUAAACGCGUAUUAAUAUACUCUUGUACCUAUCGUUAUUACACAGUGGAAAACUGUCCAAAGUUGGAAGUUAGAAGAUUAAAAAAUAAGCUCAUAACGGUAUAACACCAAGAGCUGUGGUACUUACCAGCGAAAUGGUUCUUUGAGGCGACAUUUUGGCCCUUUGGUCGGCUGCCACCAUUUGACUGGCGUAUAAAUUGUUAUACAAAUCCGCGAUAGUCGAGUUGUUCUUCUUUGACGACCUGCAACGACAGCAAAACGAAUUAUCCACUCACACUCACAUCGCAUGCCGCUGCAGAGUUCGUUGAUGGACCACGAAAUCACGCACGCCAGAGCACACUAUAUAGUUGCUGCCACACUAUAGCACAAUGUACACACACGUUCUCCUUAUUGUCCAACCUAUUGUACGACGGCUUCAGCGUAGGCACAACGGAUUGCGUCGUCAGAAUACUCGGAAUGUAUUUAAAAUGUUUUUGUCUGCCAAUACAAAUACCUUGGCAUAUCUACAUAUAAAGGUAUACUAUGUAUACGGUAUGAUAAUGAAAUGGACAGGACCAAUCUUUCAAAAUAAAUGAAACAUGAAGAAGUUGGAAUCGUUAAAAAUUGAUAAAAGAGCAACAGGAUCCCAUAAAAAAAUUGAGUCCGGUCAAGCUUAAACGCUACACGAAAAUAUCUACACAAAACGCGUUUAGAGAUAAGCUUACAACAUAUACAAGCUGGUACCAAGUAAAAAGAAAUGCUACAGUCAAUUUCUUAAAAAAAUUUAAAAAUUGAAGCUCGAAUUUACUACGUGCAGCAUGAUUUUUUUAAGAAAUCUUUACUAGAACUUAACUGCAAUGUGAUGAAGUUAUACAUUCUAAAGAAAUCGUACUGACACAAUAAUGCCAAAGAAAAUUAAAAUCUAUUUUAAGUAAAAAAUCGAUGCAGGUACAUUUUAACAUUUUGUCAUUUGGAUACAUUAGCAACACAUAACAUGAUUGAUGUUUACAAUUAUGAAUGCACCUACACAAAUUUCAGCAAAUAGCGUAACUGUGAUACGAGCAGUGACCUUAGAGAGCGAAGCGUUUUCCUUAGCUUGCAGCGUCGUGCAGCAGUUAUUAUUUUUUACAGGUAAAACUAUAGCAACGUAUACAAUAGUAAAAUAUUGGAAGGAAUCGACGAUGAUGGGAAGUAGAGAAGAAUGCUGCACUAGUAAAUUACGGUGUGCGUCGUUCUUCGCAAUUAUAUUAUAUACAUUAAGCAUGAUAAUAUAUUAUAUACCGUCUAUAUUAUUUGUGGUAUAUCCGGCAUUAGGCCCAGAGCCAUCGCUGUAAUGCCGCAAGGACAUUCGCCGGUUGAAAUCACGACGACAACCAAGCCAUGGAGUAUUAUUACUCUAUGGACCAGGCACGCAUAAUGAUAAUGAUCAUAAUAACGUAUAACGACGAUUGUUGUGCAUUUUCGACGGAGCGCGUUCUGGGACUGGCUGGGUAUCCCCCCCGCUCAAAUUGUGACGGCGUGCAAAACUCACGUCGACGUUUCGUCCUAUUAAUCAUAUCGAGCAGCGGGUGAUCGGAUAACGAAUGGCGGUGGCGGUAAUUAUACGAAGCGUUAAAGUCACUGCGGUGCCUCUUGCAACAGUUUGCGUCCUCUGUUAAAACUUUACAAGUGUAGAUGAGUAACAUCACAUUUUAUUCAUUUAAAGUUAACUAAAAUAUUAGACGCAUUCCUUCAGUUAUUAGUAUCAUUUUAUAUAUGAUAUAUGAUACAUUGUUACAUUGUAGUGGCGUCAGGAUAAGAUAGGUGUACAUACUGAAGAAUUUAUCAGAUGGAAGUUCAUAUAAGUGUUAACUUUUUUGGAAAGUCCCAAAAAUAUACUUCCGGAUCGAAAAUCAGUGUAUAUAGUUAGUAGUUACUCGCGUUUAGGACUGCCGUUUUAUUAUUCAACCUAACUAUUAAGUAAUUAAAGAAGAAAACACCUAUAGAAGUCAGCUGUACAGAUGUUGAUUUUCUAAAAUGGCAAGCCAGUAUUUAAUUUAAAUUUUACGUAUUUAUUACUUUAAUA